AAACACAAAUAAAUAAACAAAAAUAGGAGUAUAUGUCAUGUUAAGGUUGAAUGUACUAUCGAAAAACUUUUUGGCUUAAAAAAUUCAUCAAUGGUGGUGUUUAUUUUUUUUAAAUUUUAUCAAAGAAAUCCACUUGAUUUUAGAUUUUUCCAAAAUAAAGCAAAGACCACGCGCUCUGAAUCCACUUGCCCAACAAAACCCAGUCGCGUCCUUGCCCAUUGGACAGUCACAAGGCGGCGAGUGCACACCACUCGAAGCCAGACGCGUGUUUUCUCUCUCUUUUUUCUGAGUAAAAUUUGCUAAAAAAAUAAAAAUCAUUUACUCUGUACAGACACACAAACGAAAAAAGAGUCGGAGAGAGAGAAAGAGCGAUCGGAGAGAGAGAGAGACAUACAGAGGGGUUGGAUUCUUCAAUCUCCGAUUUAGAGAGAGAGAUAUGUAUAUACAGAGAUUCAGCGACUUUUAGUGAGAGAAAGUAAGGCGAAAUCUAAAUGCUGGGAGAGAGAGACAGCAAAGAAAGCGAUUGAACGAGCAAUGGAGGAAGAAGCUACAAGGAUUUCCACGAGCAAGUCUCCACCGAAGCUCUUCCUUAUCUGAAUUUCAAGUUUCUAUCAGAUUCUGAAGGGAGAUUUUAAUUUUACUCAAUGGGUAAAAGAAUAGCUUGUCUGUCUUCAUUCCUUGCAUUCUUGAGUUAGAUGUGCAGUUGCAUGGUUGAAGACUCCCAACGACUUACUUCUUGGGUAUGGAAGAUAUCUGAAAUUUCCUUUUCGGGCAACAAAUAUCACAUAGUCGAUCGGUUUGUAAAAUGCAGUCAGGAAGUUUUUGUUACCUAAGGAUAUCCGUUCCUUCUCCUUUAAUACAAGUUGUUCAUCAGUUAUGAGUGCAUCGAUGCUUGAAUCUCUUCAGCACUAGGCAUAUGUUUGUAAUUGUAGAUGGGGGAUGAAAGGUGUGUUAUGUAUGGCAUAUACGACCAUCAUUUGACAAAUUCCCAGUACUAGCUAUAUUGAGCA
Rhododendron vialii is the source of this 1010-nucleotide long non-coding RNA. RefSeq lists it as uncharacterized. The transcript has 2 exons. The record is from RefSeq and is a predicted model, not a curated record. Lineage: Eukaryota; Viridiplantae; Streptophyta; Magnoliopsida; Ericales; Ericaceae.